AACGGCGGCCGUAACUAUAACGGUCCUAAGGUAGCGAAAUUCCUUGUCGGGUAAGUUCCGACCUGCACGAAUGGCGUAAUGAUGGCCAGGCUGUCUCCACCCGAGACUCAGUGAAAUUGAACUCGCUGUGAAGAUGCAGUGUACCCGCGGCAAGACGGAAAGACCCCGUGAACCUUUACUAUAGCUUGACACUGAACAUUGAGCCUUGAUGUGUAGGAUAGGUGGGAGGCUUUGAAGCGUGGACGCCAGUCUGCGUGGAGCCAACCUUGAAAUACCACCCUUUAAUGUUUGAUGUUCUAACGUUGCCCCAUUAUCUGGGGUGCGGACAGUGUCUGGUGGGUAGUUUGACUGGGGCGGUCUCCUCCCAAAGAGUAACGGAGGAGCACGAAGGUUGGCUAAGCAUGGUCGGACAUCAUGCGGUUAGUGCAAAGGCAUAAGCCAGCUUGACUGCGAGAGUGACGGCUCGAGCAGGUACGAAAGUAGGUCUUAGUGAUCCGGUGGUUCUGAAUGGAAGGGCCAUCGCUCAACGGAUAAAAGGUACUCCGGGGAUAACAGGCUGAUACCGCCCAAGAGUUCAUAUCGACGGCGGUGUUUGGCACCUCGAUGUCGGCUCAUCACAUCCUGGGGCUGAAGUAGGUCCCAAGGGUACGGCUGUUCGCCGUUUAAAGUGGUACGCGAGCUGGGUUUAGAACGUCGUGAGACAGUUCGGUCCCUAUCUGCCGUGGGCGUUGGAAGAUUGAAAGGGGCUGCUCCUAGUACGAGAGGACCGGAGUGGACGCACCACUGGUGUUCGGGUUGUCAUGCCAAUGGCAUUGCCCGGUAGCUAAGUGCGGAAAAGAUAACCGCUGAAAGCAUCUAAGCGGGAAACUUGCCUUGAGAUGAGUCUUCCCUGACUCUUUAAGGGUCCUAAAGGAACGUUUAAGACUAAGACGUUGAUAGGUUGGGUGUGUAAGCGUAGCGAUACGUUGAGCUAACCAAUACUAAUGAACCGUGAGGCUUAACCUGACAACACCGAAGGUGUUUUAG
Molecule: ribosomal RNA, 1026 nt
Filed under: Providencia alcalifaciens
Lineage: Bacteria; Pseudomonadati; Pseudomonadota; Gammaproteobacteria; Enterobacterales; Morganellaceae
Description: partial 23S ribosomal RNA
Rfam family: Bacterial large subunit ribosomal RNA
Source: RNAcentral